This 467-nucleotide ribosomal RNA is filed under the name uncultured bacterium. RNAcentral describes it as "partial 16S ribosomal RNA". It matches the Rfam family "Bacterial small subunit ribosomal RNA", at positions 330 to 793 of the family's 1533-position model. The record is from RNAcentral.
UCCAGACUCCUACGGGAGGCAGCAGUGAGGAAUAUUGGUCAAUGGGCGCGAGCCUGAACCAGCCAAGUCGCGUGAGGGAGGACGGCCCUACGGGUUGUAAACCUCUUUUGCCGGGGAGCAACGGGCGUCACGUGUGGCGCCACUGAGAGUACCCGGAGAAAAAGCAUCGGCUAACUCCGUGCCAGCAGCCGCGGUAAUACGGAGGAUGCGAGCGUUAUCCGGAUUUAUUGGGUUUAAAGGGUGCGUAGGUUGUUUUAUAAGUUAGCGGUGAAAUACCGAUGCUCAACAUCGGGGCUGCCGCUAAUACUGUAGGACUAGAGAUCGGAUGCAGCAGGCGGAGUGUGUAGUGUAGCGGUGAAAUGCAUAGAUAUUACACAGAACACCGAUUGCGAAGGCAGCUUGCUAGGCCGGAUCUGACACUGAUGCACGAAAGCGUGGGGAUCGAACAGGAUUAGAUACCCUAGUAA